RNAcentral lists this ribosomal RNA (828 nucleotides) under Bacillus altitudinis. RNAcentral describes it as "bacterial SSU rRNA". It matches the Rfam family "Bacterial small subunit ribosomal RNA", at positions 59 to 870 of the family's 1533-position model. The record is from RNAcentral. Lineage: Bacteria; Bacillati; Bacillota; Bacilli; Caryophanales; Bacillaceae.
CAGUCGAGCGGACAGAAGGGAGCUUGCUCCCGGAUGUUAGCGGCGGACGGGUGAGUAACACGUGGGUAACCUGCCUGUAAGACUGGGAUAACUCCGGGAAACCGGAGCUAAUACCGGAUAGUUCCUUGAACCGCAAGGUUCAAGGAUGAAAGACGGUUUCGGCUGUCACUUACGGAUGGACCCGCGGCGCAUAGCUAGUUGGUGAGGUAACGGCUCACCAAGGCGACAAUGCGUAGCCGACCUGAGAGGGUGAUCGGCCACACUGGGACUGAGACACGGCCCAGACUCCUACGGGAGGCAGCAGUAGGGAAUCUUCCGCAAUGGACGAAAGUCUGACGGAGCAACGCCGCGUGAGUGAUGAAGGUUUUCGGAUCGUAAAGCUCUGUUGUUAGGGAAGAACAAGUGCAAGAGUAACUGCUUGCACCUUGACGGUACCUAACCAGAACGCCACGGCUAACUACGUGCCAGCAACCGCGGUAAUACGUAGGUGGCAAGCGUUGUCCGGAAUUAUUGGGCGUAAAGGGCUCGCAGGCGGUUUCUUAAGUCUGAUGUGAAAGCCCCCGGCUCAACCGGGGAGGGUCAUUGGAAACUGGGAAACUUGAGUGCAGAAGAGGAGAGUGGAAUUCCACGUGUAGCGGUGAAAUGCGUAGAGAUGUGGAGGAACACCAGUGGCGAACGCGACUCUCUGGUCUGUAACUGACGCUGAGGAGCGAAAGCGUGGGGAGCGAACAGGAUUAGAUACCCUGGUAGUCCACGCCGUANACGAUGAGUGCUAAGUGUUAGGGGGUUUCCGCCCCUUAGUGCUGCAGCUAACGCAUUAAGCACUCC